Molecule: non-coding RNA, 1409 nt
Organism: Sus scrofa (pig)
Lineage: Eukaryota; Metazoa; Chordata; Mammalia; Artiodactyla; Suidae
Source: RefSeq, a predicted model, not a curated record
AAGACAAACAAACAAACAGAAGAGUCAAGGUCCCCAGGUUUAAUAAACCCCUGGAAUUCUGAAAGAACUGUGUGCGUGUUUACCAAGCUGUUGUCCUGCAUCUAAAACCAAAAGCAUCCCCUGCCUACACUGCUUUCCUAGAAGUCUGUGAGGAAAGAUUAGGUGCUAAUAAUUGACAGCAAGCGGAACCUGAAUCAGGCAUAAGAAGAGACACGAAAUGACGUAUGUAAUCUUAGGCUGUGCUGCUGAGAGCUUGACACCCAGACGGAGAGUUUAGUCUCCCUCUGUUUAUUUCUGGCAGUUGGGAGGACUGGAGAAAAUGCCACGAGAGAAAUAUGUGCUAGCUAUGUUUGUAAAUCCUGAACAAGACUUAGCCAUGAGGAAGGACUCCGACAGCUGUCUUCCAAUAUUUCAAGGAUUAUAAAGUAUGAAUGAAGCAGCAUAUUGUGCAUAGCUUCAGAGGACAGAACCAAGAACAAAGUUUGGGAGUUACAGGGAAGGAAAUUUCUUUCCAUAGAAGAGAUUCUAACCAUGUCUUAAAUGUAUAUAAUGUAUAAUCCACACAUAGUCUCAUGUGCAUCAUUUCACGUUAGGAAGAACUCCCGAACCGUUGGUGAUAGAAUGAGCUGCCAGGCAGGUGGAAGCAGAGACGAAGGCAUGACGUUAGACGAGACGAACUAGAAGACUGUUUCCAACGCAGAGGGUGAAUCUGCCCAGAGGUGCUUCCCAGGCAGUUUCUAAACUGAGAGGAAAUAAGGGGGAAAAAGCAUCUUGAAUCAAUUCAUCCUUGUCUGUCUCCGCUUAUACUUUUCAAAGUAGAAAAAAGAGAAAAGUCUGGGUUCGCCACAUGGAAAGGAGGUGAGUGAGGACCUUGGUUCUUUAGGGUGUUCAAGGGGAUGCGGGCUGCCUCCCUUCUGGGGGUUUCUGCCUUGGGAGGACAAUGCACGGUAUGACCCCUAGCUCCUGUCUAACGUCAAGAGUCUGCGAAGCUGUAUUUCACCCUCAACUCGUGACCUUCUCCCCUUGUUUCUUGUUGGAGGAAGUCAUUUUCACUCUCUGGACCUCAAGGGACCUUUCUAUUAGAUGAGGCUGUUGAAGUCUGGGAUCUUUGGAGGGACCUCACAUUCUGCAGGGAUACAGUUUUACCGAGGAUUUUUCGGGCCUAAGGAGGAAUCACAUUUCUCCGUGCUUCUGCUUCCGAGGACAAUAUUAGGUAAACUGAGAGGCAGAAAGAGAAUUCCAGAGUCGGGCAGAGUUACGGAUAGAAGAGCUUCAAGUUUUCAGGCUGGAAGGACCUUCACAGACUAUCUUAUCCCUAAUCGGACUGCCAGGUGGGGCCACGUAGAAUGCAGCCGCGUGUUCUUAGGUCUGCCGUGUUCUCCUCCGAAGUGUUCUCGUUGAGAAGGUAA